Molecule: ribosomal RNA, 468 nt
Filed under: uncultured bacterium
Lineage: Bacteria
Description: partial 16S ribosomal RNA
Rfam family: Bacterial small subunit ribosomal RNA
Source: RNAcentral
GACGAACGCUGGCGGCGUGCUUAACACAUGCAAGUCGAACGGAAAGGCCCUGCUCUUGUGGGGUGCUCGAGUGGCGAACGGGUGAGUAACACGCGAGUAUCCUGUCCCUGUCUUUGGGAUAACUUCACGAAACUGGGGCUCAUACCGCAUAGGAGCUCCUGCAGCAUGGUGGGGGUUGGAGAGUUUCGGCGGUUGGGGAUGGACUCGCGGCUUAUCAGCUUGUUGGUGGGGUAGUGGAUUACCAAGGCUUUGACGGGUAGCCGGCAUGAGAGGGUGGCCGGCCACAUUGGGACUGAGAGACGGCGCAGACUGCUACGGGAGGCAGCAGUGGAGAAUUUUGCACAAUGGGGGGAAGCGUGAUGCGGAAACGCCGCGUGCGGGAUGACGGCCUUCGGGUUGUAAACCGAUGUCGCCUGUGACAAGGCGUGAGUGACGGUAAUGGGUAAAGAAGCACCGGCUAACUACGUG